Small nucleolar RNA from Gonium pectorale, 73 nucleotides. It matches the Rfam family "Small nucleolar RNA SNORA17". Rfam says of the family: snoRNA ACA 17 belongs to the H/ACA family of snoRNAs and is predicted to guide pseudouridylation of the 28S rRNA at positions U4659 and U4598. It shares the same host gene together with ACA43. Lineage: Eukaryota; Viridiplantae; Chlorophyta; Chlorophyceae; Chlamydomonadales; Volvocaceae. The record is from Rfam.
CCUGCGCCUCCAGCCACUCCACCUUGGCGGCCCAGUCGGGCGUGGGGCUGCCGGCCGCAGAGGAGAGCACGUU